UUGUUAUUUAAAAGAUGGUUCUGCUAUCACUAAGAGAUGGUCCCGCGGUGCAUUAGCUAGUUGGUAAGGUAAUGGCUUACCAAGGCGAUGAUGCAUAGCCGAGUUGAGAGACUGAUCGGCCACAAUGGGACUGAGACACGGCCCAUACUCCUACGGGAGGCAGCAGUAGGGAAUCUUCCACAAUGGGCGAAAGCCUGAUGGAGCAACGCCGCGUGUGUGAUGAAGGGUUUCGGCUCGUAAAACACUGUUGUAAGAGAAGAAUGACAUUGAGAGUAACUGUUCAAUGUGUGACGGUAUCUUACCAGAAAGGAACGGCUAAAUACGUGCCAGCAGCCGCGGUAAUACGUAUGUUCCAAGCGUUAUCCGGAUUUAUUGGGCGUAAAGCGAGCGCAGACGGUUAUUUAAGUCUGAAGUGAAAGCCCUCAGCUCAACUGAGGAAUUGCUUUGGAAACUGGAUGACUUGAGUGCAGUAGAGGAAAGUGGAACUCCAUGUGUAGCGGUGAAAUGCGUAGAUAUAUGGAAGAACACCAGUGGCGAAGGCGGCUUUCUGGACUGUAACUGACGUUGAGGCUCGAAAGUGUGGGUAGCAAACAGGAUUAGAUACCC
RNAcentral lists this ribosomal RNA (606 nucleotides) under Weissella confusa. RNAcentral's name for it is "bacterial SSU rRNA". It matches the Rfam family "Bacterial small subunit ribosomal RNA", at positions 193 to 787 of the family's 1533-position model. The record is from RNAcentral. Lineage: Bacteria; Bacillati; Bacillota; Bacilli; Lactobacillales; Lactobacillaceae.